RNAcentral lists this long non-coding RNA (2244 nucleotides) under Sus scrofa (pig). RNAcentral describes it as "lncRNA (ENSSSCG00065038619.1)". Lineage: Eukaryota; Metazoa; Chordata; Mammalia; Artiodactyla; Suidae. The record is from RNAcentral.
CCAGGCUAGGGGUCAACUCAGAGCUGUUGCCGCCGGCCUACGCCAGAGCCACAGUAACACCAGAUCCCAGCCUCGUCUGUGACCUACACCGCAGCUCAUAGCAAUGCUGGAUCCUUAACCUACUGAGCGAGGCCAGGGUUGAACCUACAACCUCCUCAUGGUUCAAGGUAGGAUUUGUUUCUGCUGUGCCACAAUGAGAACUCCUGUCUUUUUUUUUUUUAAAGUGGUGUAGAAAACUAUAAAAGUGGAAAAGAAACACAUGUAAUCCCAUCUCUCACUACUAACGUUUGAUGUUUGUAAGGCUAUUGAAUAACAGUAACUAUUGUGAUCCGAAUAUGUUUAUUUUCUUUAAAGUAGUUGUUUUCUGAUAUGGGAAAGCUGCAUUUAAGAAAAUUAACUUUGGGGAGUUCCCAUUGUGGUGCAGCAGAAAAGAAUCCGAAUACAAACGAUGAGGCCAGGGAUGGAACCUGCCUCUUCAUGGAUACUAGUCGAGUUUGUUACCACUGAGCCACAGUGGAAAUUCCACCAUCAUAUUAGUUUAGGUGUACAACCUAAAGAUUUAAUAUAUGCAGCCUUUGUAAAAUGACUACCACAGUAAGUUUAGUUAAAUUCCAUCACCUCGCAUAGUUACACUUUUUUAUUCUUGUGACGAGCGCUUUUAAGAUCUACUCUCCUAGUAACUUUCAGAUAUAUGAUACAUUAUUAUUACCUAUAGCCACCAUCCUGUACAUUGCAUCCCCAGGACUUACUUGUCUUAUUUUCCCAUCUUAAUCAUGGCUCUUCUCCUUCCGAAAGUACCCAUUACCCACUACCCUGACUUUGCUUUUUCUAUGAUUUUAUCACCCAAGAGUGCAUGCCCACUUUUUAAAACUUUACAUGACUUUUUACUGUUUUUAAUCUACACGUUCUUUUCCCUUGGCUUUCUUUCCAUUAUAAUAAAUAUCCCAAAGAUCCUGGGGAAAUGGACCUAUAAAAUUUUUUUGCAGAUCACCAUAUUUAUUGUCUGCAUUUCCUGUAAAUUGGCAACUGGAUCCAGAUGCUUAAUCUGUUGUGAGUCCCUUGGCAAGAUCAUAGCCAUAGCGUGUUCAUUAGAAAUCUUUAUUUCUGAAUGUUUUGCUCUCUCUACGUGAUAGGGGAAAAUGCAGCAAACCUCACUAGGAGUGUGUUAUGUGAGUUCCACUGCAUGUGAAUUGCUGGUGACAGGUUGGGGGUGGAUUUUGUGUAUGUUUUGUGUAUGUAAAGGAGGACUUUGAUUCUGCAUUAUUCACCUGCAUGCACAAGGCAGGUGUCAUAGGCUGAAUAUUUGCGUUCCCUCAAAAUUCGUAUGUUGAACUCCCAGUGUGGUGGUAGGUAUUUGGAGGUGGUGUUGGGGACGUGAUUAGAUUUCAAUAGAGUCACCAGGAUGGAACCCUCAUGAUGAAAUUAGUGGCCUUAUGGGAAGAGGAGGAGAAAGCACUCAGAUCAAGGAACAGUCCUGUGAGCACAGUGAGAAGGUGAGGUGGGGGAGAACCUUUGUGACACUCACCCUGCCAGCACCCUCAUCUUUGAUUGCCAGCUUACAGACCAUGGGAAAAUAAAUGCCAGUUGUUUAAGCCACUCAAAAUAUUGUGUUUUGUCAUAGCAGCCCAAGGAAACUAAGACAGAGGUGGGAAGUCAGGUUGGAGAUAAGUUACACACCUAAGGACGUUCAGUUUGGUGGGGCCACGUGUUUUGCUUUGUUUUGCUUUUCCCUGUUUCUUGCAUCACCACAUUUGCAGUCUGUAAAAAUUGCUCACCCUUGCUUCCAGAGUCUCUAGGUAAUGAGAUUACCUUCCUCUCUGCCAUGUUAGAGAAAUAUGUUACUUUAAAGAAGGGUGUUAUCAUUAAACAAACAGUAAUAAAAUUCUAAAGCAUGGGUAUUCAUUUUCUGCACUUGCUUAGCCUCGGGCGGCCAAAAUCUGUUUCUUGUAAGGCCUCCUCUGCUAACAGUCCUGUUCUCCACUUACUCACUCUUAGUGAGAAUUGGCAAAAUUGGCUUUAGUUACUUCUCUGGAAACUGCACAUUUUCAGGAAGGGAAGUUGUUCAUCAACCUUUGAUACUUUUCUUCACACUAAUUAAGAUUUAUUGCAUUUGGUAGUGGUUUCUGCCAAAGAUUUGUGAACUGGCAGUAUUUAUGAGUUACAGAACUGAUAAACAUUUUGUUUCUCAUUUUUAUUUUUUGGUUCUAUCCAAAAGGAGGCCUUUAUAAAGGAUUCUCAUAAGGC